AUACGUAGGGAGCGAGCGUUGUCCGGAAUUACUGGGCGUAAAGGGCGCGUAGGCGGCGCUUCAAGUCGUCUGUCAAAUGGGAGGGCUUAACCCUUUUUCGCAGACGAAACUGGAGAGCUUGAGAAGCAGAGAGGCAAACAGAAUUCCUGGUGUAGCGGUGAAAUGCGUAGAUAUCAGGAAGAAUACCAGUGGCGAAGGCGGUUUGCUGGCUGCAUACUGACGCUGAGGCGCGAAAGCCAGGGGAGCAAACGGGAUUAGAUACCCCGGUAGUCCUGGCAGUAAACGAUGUAUGCUGGGUGUGAGACUAGCGAUAGUUUCGUGCCGAAGUUAACGCGAUAAGCAUACCGCCUGGGGAGUACGGUCGCAAGAUUGAAACUUAAAGGAAUUGACGGG
RNAcentral lists this ribosomal RNA (393 nucleotides) under uncultured bacterium. RNAcentral's name for it is "partial 16S ribosomal RNA". It matches the Rfam family "Bacterial small subunit ribosomal RNA", at positions 523 to 917 of the family's 1533-position model. The record is from RNAcentral.